RNAcentral lists this ribosomal RNA (484 nucleotides) under uncultured bacterium. RNAcentral's name for it is "partial 16S ribosomal RNA". It matches the Rfam family "Bacterial small subunit ribosomal RNA", at positions 30 to 507 of the family's 1533-position model. The record is from RNAcentral.
AUUGAACGCUGGCGGCAGGCCUAACACAUGCAAGUCGAGCGGAUGAAGGGAGCUUGCUCCUGGAUUCAGCGGCGGACGGGUGAGUAAUGCCUAGGAAUCUGCCUGGUAGUGGGGGAUAACGUCCGGGAACGGGCGCUAAUACCGCAUACGUCCUGAGGGAGAAAGUGGGGGAUCUUCGGACUUCACGCUAUCAGAUGAGCCUAGGUCGGAUUAGCUAGUUGGUGGGGUAAAGGCCUACCAAGGCGACGAUCCGUAACUGGUCUGAGAGGAUGAUCAGUCACACUGGAACUGAGACACGGUCCAGACUCCUACGGGAGGCAGCAGUGGGGAAUAGUGGACAAUGGGCGAAAGCCUGAUCCAGCCAUGCCGCGUGUGUGAAGAAGGUCUUCGGAUUGUAAAGCACUUUAAGUUGGGAGGAAGGGCAGUAAGUUAAUACCUUGCUGUUUUGACGUUACCAACAGAAUAAGCACCGGCUAACUUCGUG